AAAUAAAGUAUAACUUUUUUUAGAA
Molecule: transfer RNA, 25 nt
Filed under: Ctenocephalides felis (cat flea)
Lineage: Eukaryota; Metazoa; Arthropoda; Insecta; Siphonaptera; Pulicidae
Description: partial tRNA-Leu
Source: RNAcentral